RNAcentral lists this ribosomal RNA (483 nucleotides) under uncultured bacterium. RNAcentral describes it as "bacterial SSU rRNA". It matches the Rfam family "Bacterial small subunit ribosomal RNA", at positions 28 to 507 of the family's 1533-position model. The record is from RNAcentral.
GAUGAACGCUGGCGGCGUGCUUAACACAUGCAAGUCGAACGAGGAAGAGUUGAAUGAGAGCUUCGGGCAGGAUUUCUUCUCAUCUUAGUGGCGGACGGGUGAGUAACGCGUGAGCAAUCUGCCCUUAAGAGGGGGACAACAGUUGGAAACGACUGCUAAUACCGCAUAAUGUAUUAGAAUCGCAUGGUUUUAAUACCAAAGGAGAAAUCCGCUUUUGGAUGAGCUCGCGUCUGAUUAGCUAGUUGGUGGGGUAACGGCCUACCAAGGCGACGAUCAGUAGCCGGACUGAGAGGAUGAACGGCCACAUUGGGACUGAGAUACGGCCCAGACUCCUACGGGAGGCAGCAGUGGGGGAUAUUGCGCAAUGGGGGCAACCCUGACGCAGCAACGCCGCGUGAAGGAAGAAGGUUUUCGGAUCGUAAACUUCUUUAAGUGGGGAAGAUAGUGACGGUACCCACAGAAUAAGCCACGGCUAACUACGUG